AUCCUACGGGGGGCAGCAGUCGGGAAUAUUGCGCAAUGGAGGAAACUCUGACGCAGUGACGCCGCGUAUAGGAAGAAGGUUUUCGGAUUGUAAACUAUUGUCGUUAGGGAAGAUAAAAGACUGUACCUAAGGAGGAAGCCCCGGCUAACUAUGUGCCAGCAGCCGCGGUAAUACAUAGGGGGCAAGCGUUAUCCGGAUUUACUGGGUGUAAAGGGAGCGUAGACGGCUGUGCAAGUCUGAAGUGAAAGCCCAGGGCUCAACCCUGG
This 266-nucleotide ribosomal RNA is filed under the name uncultured bacterium. Its description in RNAcentral is "partial 16S ribosomal RNA". It matches the Rfam family "Bacterial small subunit ribosomal RNA", at positions 335 to 618 of the family's 1533-position model. The record is from RNAcentral.